GACAGAGGGGGCAAGCGUUGCUCGGAAUUACUGGGCGUAAAGGGCGCGUAGGCGGGAUGGCAAGUCGGUCGUGAAAUCCCUCGGCUCAACUGAGGAUCGUCGAUCGAUACUGCCGUUCUUGAGGAUUGCAGAGGAGACUGGAAUUCCUGGUGUAGCGGUGGAAUGCGCAGAUAUCAGGAGGAACACCGAUGGCGAAGGCAGGUCACUGGGCCGCAACUGACGCUGAGGAGCGAAAGCAUGGGGAGCGAACAGG
RNAcentral lists this ribosomal RNA (253 nucleotides) under uncultured bacterium. RNAcentral describes it as "partial 16S ribosomal RNA". It matches the Rfam family "Bacterial small subunit ribosomal RNA", at positions 524 to 776 of the family's 1533-position model. The record is from RNAcentral.